Small nuclear RNA from Chelmon rostratus (copperband butterflyfish), 183 nucleotides. RefSeq annotates it as U2 spliceosomal RNA. The record is from RefSeq and is a predicted model, not a curated record. Lineage: Eukaryota; Metazoa; Chordata; Actinopteri; Chaetodontiformes; Chaetodontidae. The transcript has a single exon.
UAACCACCAGGGAAGGCGGUGGUUAAGUUUUCAUUGUUCUGAUUGGAACAGAUCUGAUAUGUCCUCCAUUGGGGGACAACAUAUUAAAUAGAUUUUUAGCACCGGCAGCUGAAAAAGGGGCUUGCUCUGUUACUCCAUGCAUCGACCUGGUAUUGCACUGCUGCCGGGAACGGUACUUUUGCC